AACGAACGCUGGCGGCAGGCUUAACACAUGCAAGUCGAGCGGGCCCGCAAGGGUCAGCGGCGGACGGGUUAGUAACGCGUGGGAACGUGCCUUUUGCUUCGGAAUAGCCCUGGGAAACUGGGGGUAAUACCGGAUGUGCCCUGAGGGGGAAAGAUUUAUCGGCAAGAGAUCGGCCCGCGUUGGAGUAGGCAGUUGGUGGGGUAACGGCCCACCAGGCCGACGACCCAUAGCUGGUUUGAGAGGAUGAUCAGCAACACUGGGGCUGAGACACGGCCCAGACUCCUACGGGAGGCAGCAGUGGGGAAUCUUAGACAAUGGGCGCAAGCCUGAUCUAGCCAUGACGCGUGGGUGAUGAAGGCCUUAGUGUCGUAAAGCCCUUUCGCCGGGGAAGAUAAUGACGGUACCCGGUAAAGAAACCCCGGCUAACUCCGUGCCAGCCGCCGCCGUAA
Molecule: ribosomal RNA, 449 nt
Filed under: uncultured bacterium
Lineage: Bacteria
Description: partial 16S ribosomal RNA
Rfam family: Bacterial small subunit ribosomal RNA
Source: RNAcentral